RNAcentral lists this ribosomal RNA (809 nucleotides) under Acinetobacter sp. A1. Its description in RNAcentral is "bacterial SSU rRNA". It matches the Rfam family "Bacterial small subunit ribosomal RNA", at positions 54 to 857 of the family's 1533-position model. Lineage: Bacteria; Pseudomonadati; Pseudomonadota; Gammaproteobacteria; Moraxellales; Moraxellaceae. The record is from RNAcentral.
UGUGCAUGGCUAGGGGGGGAGGGUGCUUCGGUAACUGACCUAGCGGCGGACGGGUGAGUAAUGCUUAGGAAUCUGCCUAUUAGUGGGGGACAACAUUCCGAAAGGGAUGCUAAUACCGCAUACGCCCUACGGGGGAAAGCAGGGGAUCUUCGGACCUUGCGCUAAUAGAUGAGCCUAAGUCGGAUUAGCUAGUUGGUGGGGUAAAGGCCUACCAAGGCGACGAUCUGUAGCGGGUCUGAGAGGAUGAUCCGCCACACUGGGACUGAGACACGGCCCAGACUCCUACGGGAGGCAGCAGUGGGGAAUAUUGGACAAUGGGCGGAAGCCUGAUCCAGCCAUGCCGCGUGUGUGAAGAAGGCCUUUUGGUUGUAAAGCACUUUAAGCGAGGAGGAGGCUCUUAAGGUUAAUACCCUUGAUGAGUGGACGUUACUCGCAGAAUAAGCACCGGCUAACUCUGUGCCAGCAGCCGCGGUAAUACAGAGGGUGCGAGCGUUAAUCGGAUUUACUGGGCGUAAAGCGUGCGUAGGCGGCUGAUUAAGUCGGAUGUGAAAUCCCUGAGCUUAACUUAGGAAUUGCAUUCGAUACUGGUCAGCUAGAGUAUGGGAGAGGAUGGUAGAAUUCCAGGUGUAGCGGUGAAAUGCGUAGAGAUCUGGAGGAAUACCGAUGGCGAAGGCAGCCAUCUGGCCUAAUACUGACGCUGAGGUACGAAAGCAUGGGGAGCAAACAGGAUUAGAUACCCUGGUAGUCCAUGCCGUAAACGAUGUCUACUAGCCGUUGGGGCCUUUGAGGCUUUAGUGGCGCAGCUAACG